Molecule: ribosomal RNA, 468 nt
Filed under: uncultured bacterium
Lineage: Bacteria
Description: partial 16S ribosomal RNA
Rfam family: Bacterial small subunit ribosomal RNA
Source: RNAcentral
GACGAACGCUGGCGGCGUGCUUAACACAUGCAAGUCGAACGGAAAGGCCCUGCUGUUUGGUGGUGCUCGAGUGGCGAACGGGUGAUUAACACGUGAGUAACCUGCCCUUGACGUUGAGAUAACGUCAGGAAACUGGGGCUAAUACCGGAUAUGAGCUCCUGCUGCAUGGUGGGGGGUGGAAAGUUUCGGCGGUUGGGGAUGGGCUCGCGGCGUAUCAGCGUGGGGGUGGGGUAGUGGCUUACCAAGGCCUUGACGGGUAGCCGGCAUGAGAGGUUGACCGGCGACAAUGGGCCUACGAUACGGCGCAGACUCCUACGGGAGACAGCAGUGGGGAGUAUUACACAAUGGGGCGAAGCGUGAUGCAGCAGCGCCGCGUGCGGGAUGAGGGCCUUUGGGUUGUAAACCGCCUUUGCCUGAGAAGAAGAGUGAAUGACGGUAAUGGGUAAAGAAGCACCGGCUAACUACGUG